GUGAGAACCUACCCUUAGGAUGGGGACAACAGUUGGAAACGACUGCUAAUACCCGAUGUGCCGAGAGGUGAAAGAUUUAUCGCCUAGGGAAGGGCUCGCGGCUGAUUAGCUAGUUGGUAAGGUAAAGGCUUACCAAGGCGACGAUCAGUAGCUGGUCUGAGAGGAUGAGCAGCCACACUGGGACUGAGACACGGCCCAGACUCCUACGGGAGGCAGCAGUGGGGAAUUUUCCGCAAUGGGCGAAAGCCUGACGGAGCAAUACCGCGUGUGGGAGGAAGGCUCUUGGGUUGUAAACCACUUUUCUCAGGGAAGAAUAGAUGACGGUACCUGAGGAAUAAGCAUCGGCUAACUCCGUGCCAGCAGCCGCGGUAAUACGGAGGAUGCAAGCGUUAUCCGGAAUCAUUGGGCGUAAAGCGUCCGCAGGUGGCCUAUCAAGUCUGCUGUCAAAGCGCAGAGCUCAACUCUGUAAAGGCAGUGGAAACUGGUAAGCUAGAGUACGGUAGGGGUAGCGGGAAUUCCCAGUGUAGCGGUGAAAUGCGUAGAUAUUGGGAAGAACAUCGGUGGCGAAGGCGCGCUACUGGGCCGAAACUGACACUGAGGGACGAAAGCUAGGGGAGCGAAAGGGAUUAGAUACCCCUGUAGUCCUAGCCGUAAACGAUGGAAACCAGGCGUGGCUUGUAUCGACCCGAGCCGUGCCGAAGCUAACGCGUUAAGUUUCCCGCCUGGGGAGUACGCACGCAAGUGUGAAACUCAAAGGAAUUGACGGGGGCCCGCACAAGCGGUGGAGUAUGUGGUUUAAUUCGAUGCAACGCGAAGAACCUUACCAAGGCUUGACAUGUCGCGAAUCCUGCUGAAAGGUGGGAGUGCCUUAGGGAGCGCGAACACAGGUGGUGCAUGGCUGUCGUCAGCUCGUGUCGUGAGAUGUUGGGUUAAGUCCCGCAACGAGCGCAACCCUCGUUUUUAGUUGCCAGCAUUAAGUUGGGCACUCUAGAGAGACUGCCGGUGACAAACCGGAGGAAGGUGGGGAUGACGUCAAGUCAGCAUGCCCCUUACGUCUUGGGCAACACACGUACUACAAUGGUCGGGACGAAGAGCAGCGACCUCGCGAGAGUAAGCGAAUCUCAUCAAACCCGGCCUCAGUUCAGAUUGCAGGCUGCAACUCGCCUGCAUGAAGGAGGAAUCGCUAGUAAUCGCAGGUCAGCAUACUGCGGUGAAUUCGUUCCCGGGCCUUGUACACACCGCCCGUCACACCAUGGAAGCUGGCCACACCCGAAGUCGUUACCCUAACCUUUCGAGGAGGGGGACGCCGAAGGUAGGGCUAGUGACUGGGGUGAAGUCGUAACAAGGUA
This 1349-nucleotide ribosomal RNA is filed under the name metagenome. Its description in RNAcentral is "bacterial SSU rRNA". It matches the Rfam family "Bacterial small subunit ribosomal RNA". The record is from RNAcentral.